UCGAGAAUUUUUCACAAUGGGCGCAAGCCUGAUGGAGCGACGCCGCGUGGGGGAUGAAUGGCUUCGGCCCGUAAACCCCUGUCAUUUGCGAUCAACCGUUAUUAUUUAAAAGAUGAUAACCUGAUAGUAGCGAAAGAGGAAGGGACGGCUAACUCUGUGCCAGCAGCCGCGGUAAUACAGAGGUCCCAAGCGUUGUUCGGAUUAACUGGGCGGAAAGGGUGCGUAGGUGGCGGGGUAAGUCGGAUGGGAAAUCUCGGAGCUCAACUCCGAAAUGGCAUUGGAAACUACCCUGCUCGAGGAUUGGAGGGGUGGCUGGAAUACUUGGUGUAGCAGUGAAAUGCGUAGAUAUCAAGUGGAACACCAGUGGCGAAGGCGAGUCCCUGGACAACUCCUGACACUGAGGCACGAAAGCUAGGGGAGCAAACA
RNAcentral lists this ribosomal RNA (426 nucleotides) under uncultured prokaryote. Its description in RNAcentral is "bacterial SSU rRNA". It matches the Rfam family "Bacterial small subunit ribosomal RNA", at positions 355 to 774 of the family's 1533-position model. The record is from RNAcentral.